GCCUCAGUAACGGCGAGUGAAGCGGCAAAAGCUCAAAUUUGAAAUCUGGCUCUUUCAGGGUCCGAGUUGUAAUUUGUAGAAGAUGCUUCGGGUGUGGUCCCGGUCUAAGUUCCUUGGAACAGGACGUCAUAGAGGGUGAGAAUCCCGUAUGUGACUGGGUACCUACGCUCAUGUGAAGCUCUUUCGACGAGUCGAGUUGUUUGGGAAUGCAGCUCAAAAUGGGUGGUAAAUUUCAUCUAAAGCUAAAUAUUGGCCAGAGACCGAUAGCGCACAAGUAGAGUGAUCGAAAGAUGAAAAGCACUUUGGAAAGAGAGUUAAACAGUACGUGAAAUUGUUGAAAGGGAAGCGCUUGCAAUCAGACUUGCGCCUAGUUGAUCAUCCGGGCUUCUGCCCGGUGCACUCGAUUAGGCUCAGGCCAGCAUCGGUUUAGGUGGUUGGAUAAAGGCUUGGGGAACGUAGCCUCCUUCGGGGGGUGUUAUAGCCCCAGGUGCAAUGCAGCCUACCUGGACCGAGGACCGCGCUUCGGCUAGGAUGCUGGCGUAAUGGUUGUAAGCGACCCGUCUUGAAACACGGACCAAGGAGUCUAACAUUUAUGCGAGUGUUUGGGUGUUAAACCCAUACGCGUAAUGAAAGUGAACGGAGGUAAGAACCCUUAAGGGUGCAUUAUCGACCGAUCCUGAUGUCUUCGGAUGGAUUUGAGUAAGAGCAUAACUGUUGGGACCCGAAAGAUGGUGAUCUAUACGUGAAUAGGGUGAAGCCAGAGGAAACUCUGGUGGAGGCUCGCAGCGGUUCUGACGUGCAAAUCGAUCGUCAAAUUUGCGUAUAGGGGCGAAAGACUAAUCGAACCAUC
Molecule: ribosomal RNA, 850 nt
Rfam family: Eukaryotic large subunit ribosomal RNA